Molecule: ribosomal RNA, 586 nt
Filed under: Sarocladium strictum
Lineage: Eukaryota; Fungi; Ascomycota; Sordariomycetes; Hypocreales; Sarocladiaceae
Description: eukaryotic LSU rRNA
Rfam family: 5.8S ribosomal RNA (bases 197-350)
Source: RNAcentral
UCCGUAGGUGAACCUGCGGAGGGAUCAUUACCAGAGUGCCCUAGGCUCUCCAACCCAUUGUGAACUUACCAAACGUUCCCUCGGCGGGCUCAGCGCGCGGUGGCCUCCGGGCCUCCGGGCGUCCGCCGGGGAAAACCAAACCCUGAUUUAAUCGUACUUCUCUGAGGGGCGAAAGCCCGAAAACAAAAUGAAUCAAAACUUUCAACAACGGAUCUCUUGGCUCUGGCAUCGAUGAAGAACGCAGCGAAAUGCGAUAAGUAAUGUGAAUUGCAGAAUUCAGUGAAUCAUCGAAUCUUUGAACGCACAUUGCGCCCGCCGGCACUCCGGCGGGCAUGCCUGUCCGAGCGUCAUUUCAACCCUCAGGCCCACCCUUCCGGGGGAGCGGGCCUGGUUCUGGGGAUCGGCGGCCCUCGCGGCCCCCGUCCCUCAAAUUCAGUGGCGGUCGCGCCGCAGCCUCCCCUGCGUAGUAGCACAACCUCGCACCGGAGAGCGGAACGACCACGCCGUAAAACACCCAAUUUUUUAAGGUUGACCUCGGAUCAGGUAGGAAUACCCGCUGAACUUAAGCAUAUCAAUAAGCGGAGGA